UCUAGGGUAGUUCAGUGGUAGAACGCGUGACUGUUAAUCACGAUGUCGGGGGUUCGAGUCCCUCCCCUAGAGCCA
RNAcentral lists this transfer RNA (75 nucleotides) under Patescibacteria group bacterium. RNAcentral's name for it is "tRNA-Asn". It matches the Rfam family "tRNA". Rfam says of the family: Transfer RNA (tRNA) molecules are approximately 80 nucleotides in length. Their secondary structure includes four short double-helical elements and three loops (D, anti-codon, and T loops). The record is from RNAcentral.